Clupea harengus (Atlantic herring) is the source of this 608-nucleotide long non-coding RNA. NCBI's taxonomy places the organism in Eukaryota, Metazoa, Chordata, Actinopteri, Clupeiformes, Clupeidae. The record is from Ensembl.
GUAAGAGUGACCACAUAUCACAACAAAACAAUAAAAGUACUCUCGCUGAGGUAAGAGUAACCACAUAUCACAACAAAACAAUAAAAGUACUCUCGCUGAGGUAAGAGUAACCACAUAUCACAACAAAACAAUAAAAGUACUCUCGCUGAGGUAAGAAUGACCACAUAUCACAACAAAACAAUAAAAGUACUCUCGCUGAGGUAAGAGUAACCACAUAUCACAACAAAACAAUAAAAGUACUCUCGCUGAGGUAAGAGUAACCACAUAUCACAACAAAACAAUAAAAGUACUCUCGCUGAGGUAAGAAUGACGAUAUAUAACAACAAAACAAACAAAAAAAAAGUGUUGGCAAAACCUUCAAACACCACCAACCGCCCAGCUGACACUGACACUGACACAAGCUUGCAAACACACUAACUGGUGUCUUUUGGCAGUAUAGCUGUGAAAGGUUUUCUUCCAUUUUUGCAGGGUGUUCCAGCCCGUUACACAGAACUACACAGGGCAUAUCAUGGAUGUCUAGUGGAGAAGACACAUUUGUUUAUCUGUCCUUCACAUGACCAUAUGCUAUCAAAAUGUAUUUGAGGAUGGUACCAAAACUAGUUGCCUAU